GUCUUCGACGGCGAGGUUGGACUAGCAGCGGAAAAUCUGGACGCGAUUUUGGAGGGGCAUGCAACGGUUGUAUGUCCCUCCAACACCCCCUCCGUUUCUUCCGCUGCCAAUCCGACCUCGCUGUAGGAGAA
RNAcentral lists this microRNA precursor (131 nucleotides) under Ectocarpus siliculosus. Its description in RNAcentral is "miR3461 stem-loop (esi-MIR3461)". The record is from miRBase by way of RNAcentral. Lineage: Eukaryota; Phaeophyceae; Ectocarpales; Ectocarpaceae.